AGUGAACGCUGGCGGUAGGCCUAACACAUGCAAGUCGAACGGCAGCACAGUAAGAGCUUGCUCUUACGGGUGGCGAGUGGCGGACGGGUGAGGAAUACAUCGGAAUCUACUUUUUCGUGGGGGAUAACGUAGGGAAACUUACGCUAAUACCGCAUACGACCUACGGGUGAAAGCAGGGGAUCUUCGGACCUUGCGCGAUUGAAUGAGCCGAUGUCGGAUUAGCUAGUUGGCGGGGUAAAGGCCCACCAAGGCGACGAUCCGUAGCUGGUCUGAGAGGAUGAUCAGCCACACUGGAACUGAGACACGGUCCAGACUCCUACGGGAGGCAGCAGUGGGAAUAUUGGACAAUGGGCGCAAGCCUGAUCCAGCCAUACCGCGUGGGUGAAGAAGGCCUUCGGGUUGUAAAGCCCUUUUGUUGGGAAAGAAAAGCAGCAGGUUAAUACCCCGCUGUUCUGACGGUACCCAAAGAAUAAGCACCGGCUAACUUCGUA
RNAcentral lists this ribosomal RNA (491 nucleotides) under uncultured bacterium. Its description in RNAcentral is "partial 16S ribosomal RNA". It matches the Rfam family "Bacterial small subunit ribosomal RNA", at positions 29 to 507 of the family's 1533-position model. The record is from RNAcentral.